AUUGAACGCUGGCGGCAGGCCUAACACAUGCAAGUCGAGCGGAUGAAGGGAGCUUGCUCCUGGAUUCAGCGGCGGACGGGUGAGUAAUGCCUAGGAAUCUGCCUGGUAGUGGGGGAUAACGUCCGGAAACGGGCGCUAAUACCGCAUAGGUCCUGAGGGAGAAAGUGGGGGAUCUUCGGACCUCACGCUAUCAGAUGAGCCUAGGUCGGAUUAGCUAGUUGGUGGGGUAACGGCCUACCAAGGCGACGAUCCGUAACUGGUCUGAGAGGAUGAUCAGUCACACUGGAACUGAGACACGGUCCAGACUCCUACGGGAGGCAGCAGCGGGGAAUAUUGGACAAUGGGCGAAAGCCUGAUCCAGCCAUGCCGCGUGUGUGAAGAAGGUCUUCGGAUUGUAAAGCACUUUAAGUUGGGAGGAAGGGCAGUAAGUUAAUCCCUUGCUGUUUUGACGUUACCAACAGAAUAAGCACCGGCUAACUUCGUG
RNAcentral lists this ribosomal RNA (484 nucleotides) under uncultured bacterium. Its description in RNAcentral is "partial 16S ribosomal RNA". It matches the Rfam family "Bacterial small subunit ribosomal RNA", at positions 30 to 507 of the family's 1533-position model. The record is from RNAcentral.